Molecule: microRNA, 23 nt
Filed under: Branchiostoma floridae (Florida lancelet)
Lineage: Eukaryota; Metazoa; Chordata; Leptocardii; Amphioxiformes; Branchiostomatidae
Also listed under: 1 other name
Description: bfl-miR-34d
Gene: bfl-miR-34d
Source: miRBase by way of RNAcentral
UGGCAGUGUGCGCCUACAGCUGA